Molecule: transfer RNA, 73 nt
Filed under: Peptostreptococcaceae bacterium
Lineage: Bacteria; Bacillati; Bacillota; Clostridia; Peptostreptococcales; Peptostreptococcaceae
Description: tRNA-Ala
Rfam family: tRNA
About the family: Transfer RNA (tRNA) molecules are approximately 80 nucleotides in length.
Source: RNAcentral
GCAUAUAGCUCAGUUGGGAGAGUGCUUGACUGGCAGUCAAGAGGUCAGUGGUUGAAGCUCACUUAUCUCUGCC